CUCAGUGCUAGCUGCAAAAGGCAAGCCAGUUUCUUUACAAUUGAGCUCUCUCUGAACACAGCAGACAUGCAUACACCUGAUAGAGGAAUUUCUGCCAGCAGUGAAAUUUGGUUUUCCUUGGACUCAGGAAGUAGGGGAAGCUGCAUUAUCACUACAAUGAGCACAUGGUCUAUGGUAGCACCUACUUCUGGUUUUUACUUUCAGAAAUAUGCUGAACUCUGUGGCCCUGUAAAUAUUUGAAAAAUACUUGCAUAAUGAGUUUAGAACUCCCCGUUUGAUACAGAUUACGCUGUAACAUAUACUGAAAGCUCCUGUGAGACACGUCACUUCUGUUGGAAAAAUGUUCAUGUACCUCGCCAAGAAACACAUCAGUUCGAUUUCCUCCUUCUUUUGAAGUUUUGAUUUUUGCAUGUUACUGCAGUCUGAGUCUCCACUGGUAU
Long non-coding RNA from Gallus gallus (chicken), 440 nucleotides. The record is from Ensembl. NCBI's taxonomy places the organism in Eukaryota, Metazoa, Chordata, Aves, Galliformes, Phasianidae.